GACGAACGCUGGCGGCGCGCCUAACACAUGCAAGUCGAACGAGAGAGAAGGAGCUUGCUUCUUCGAUCGAGUGGCGAACGGGUGAGUAACGCGUGAGGAACCUGCCUCAAAGAGGGGGACAACAGUUGGAAACGACUGCUAAUACCGCAUAAGCCCACAGGUCGGCAUCGACCAGAGGGAAAAGGAGCAAUCCGCUUUGAGAUGGCCUCGCGUCCGAUUAGCUAGUUGGUGAGGUAAUGGCCCACCAAGGCGACGAUCGGUAGCCGGACUGAGAGGUUGAACGGCCACAUUGGGACUGAGACACGGCCCAGACUCCUACGGGAGGCAGCAGUGGGGAAUAUUGCACAAUGGGGGAAACCCUGAUGCAGCGACGCCGCGUGGAGGAAGAAGGUCUUCGGAUUGUAAACUCCUGUUGUUGAGGAAGAUAAUGACGGU
RNAcentral lists this ribosomal RNA (435 nucleotides) under uncultured bacterium. Its description in RNAcentral is "bacterial SSU rRNA". It matches the Rfam family "Bacterial small subunit ribosomal RNA", at positions 28 to 458 of the family's 1533-position model. The record is from RNAcentral.